This 427-nucleotide ribosomal RNA is filed under the name uncultured bacterium. RNAcentral's name for it is "partial 16S ribosomal RNA". It matches the Rfam family "Bacterial small subunit ribosomal RNA", at positions 355 to 774 of the family's 1533-position model. The record is from RNAcentral.
UGGGGAAUAUUGGACAAUGGGCGAAAGCCUGAUCCAGCCAUGCCGCGUGUGUGAAGAAGGUCUUCGGAUUGUAAAGCACUUUAAGUUGGGAGGAAGGGCAUUAACCUAAUACGUUAGUGUUUUGACGUUACCGACAGAAUAAGCACCGGCUAACUCUGUGCCAGCAGCCGCGGAAAUACAGAGGGGGCAAGCGUUAAUCGGAAUUAAUGGGCGUAAAGCGCGCGUAGGUGGUUUGUUAAGUUGGAUGUGAAAUCCCCGGGCUCAACCUGGGAACUGCAUUCAAAACUGACUGACUAGAGUAUGGUAGAGGGUGGUGGAAUUUCCUGUGUAGCGGUGAAAUGCGUAGAUAUAGGAAGGAACACCAGUGGCGAAGGCGACCACCUGGACUAAUACUGACACUGAGGUGCGAAAGCGUGGGGAGCAAACA